Molecule: long non-coding RNA, 915 nt
Filed under: Meriones unguiculatus (Mongolian gerbil)
Lineage: Eukaryota; Metazoa; Chordata; Mammalia; Rodentia; Muridae
Description: lncRNA (ENSMUGG00000018638.1)
Source: RNAcentral
GGAGGACUAAGAGCUGGCAUCUUGACAGCUUGCUGUAUUUUGCUGUCUGGAAGUUCGGUUUGCAUUCCAUUCAGGCACUUGGGGGACAGGGAGAUUCAAUUCAUAUCCCCUCUUGUCUCACCCAGGGGCUCAGAAACACUCCCUUCUAGGACCAAAUUGAGUACCCCGCCCCAUCCCCCACAGGGGCCUCCGAGAAGGGACAGUGUCUCCAGAUUGGAGACCACAGUUUCCAGGAUCUCCCUGAGGACCUCAGGGCCGGCUGCCAAUCAGACCUGGGAUCAGCCACAGUCCAUUAGUGAAUGCCCCGGGUGCAAGGCGCCAACACAGCCCCCCAGGCAUUGGCGCCAGAGGCUGCCCAGGGAACCCAAAGCCACCUUCAAUCACUAUCUUGGCUUUUGCCAUCAGACAAACUGGACCAUGGACUGUAGGCUGUUUCCUAGGUAAAACCCCACCUAAAUGAAGACUGGGCUUUGUUCUCCAGCCCCACCUCUGCUUGCAAGCUUAUCCUCCCUGGCGGGUCUACCAACAGUGACGGGAGAAGGAAUGACUAGACAAGCUAGCUCCGGUCAAAGACAAGAUAUCCUAGCCAACAUCAGGGCCACUGGACCAGUGAUUUAUGGCCCUGAGACAAAGGCUCCUAAGGAAAAGACCCAGCACAAGUCAGAUGUGUUGCUGCAACUAUUAUAACCCAUCCAUCUAUCUGAAUCAUCCUAGCAUCUGGAAAGUGGACCAGGCUGGCAUGGGCUGAAUAUGCCUUCACAUACAUCUUCAUUCAUGGCAAAUGGGCACAUGGUAAAUGGGCUGGGAAUAGAAGCCCCAUUUUUUCAGAAGAGGGCAAUGAAGGUGCUGAAAAGAAGACUCCAAGGUCAACAGCCGAGAGUGCCAACCUCAGCUCUGUUUGAGUCCCAGGUUGCA